Molecule: transfer RNA, 85 nt
Filed under: Acinetobacter sp. ANC 4862
Lineage: Bacteria; Pseudomonadati; Pseudomonadota; Gammaproteobacteria; Moraxellales; Moraxellaceae
Description: tRNA-Leu
Rfam family: tRNA
About the family: Transfer RNA (tRNA) molecules are approximately 80 nucleotides in length. Their secondary structure includes four short double-helical elements and three loops (D, anti-codon, and T loops). Further hydrogen bonds mediate the characteristic L-shaped molecular structure. tRNAs have two regions of fundamental functional importance: the anti-codon, which is responsible for specific mRNA codon recognition, and the 3' end, to which the tRNAs corresponding amino acid is attached (by aminoacyl-tRNA synthetases). tRNAs cope with the degeneracy of the genetic code in two manners: having more than one tRNA (with a specific anti-codon) for a particular amino acid; and 'wobble' base-pairing, i.e. permitting non-standard base-pairing at the 3rd anti-codon position.
Source: RNAcentral
GGGGAUGUGGCGAAAUUGGUAGACGCACUGGAUUUAGGUUCCAGCGCCGCAAGGUGUGAGAGUUCGAGUCUCUCCGUCCCCACCA